Molecule: long non-coding RNA, 514 nt
Organism: Girardinichthys multiradiatus
Lineage: Eukaryota; Metazoa; Chordata; Actinopteri; Cyprinodontiformes; Goodeidae
Exons: 3
Source: RefSeq, a predicted model, not a curated record
UGAGCCUCCAACCCCGUGAACCCCAACAGGAACCUCCCCACAGGGCCACCCCCAACAAGGACACCGAUAUCGAACACAUGCCCCCGAACCCAAACGCCACGAAUCCCUUCCCCCACAGGGGAACACCCCCACAGGGGACAGUGGUUACCUCUUGAGGCGCUGGCUCCUAACCCCCUUUCCUCAGCCCCAGAGCGCAGAGCAGGUGCGCUUUACUACUGCCCAUACCUGUGUUCCGUUGGCCUUCUAAGAUGCUGGUGGCAGUGUGUGGAAGUGUCCAAGGAAUAUAACAGCAUUUGACUGAACACGUCCUCCAGAAGCACCUUGUGCAUGGGGCACACUGUUGCUGGGGACCUCGGUGCCGGUUGCCACAUUGCUCGGACUCUUGUCACUCGUAACUUUCCUGCCAACUCAAGAGGACCUGAGGACAUAGAGACAUUAGCCUACUGUGUCUGUACCUCUGAUUUACCAAUUUAAUACAAAUUAAACAGUGCUUUGCCUGGCAUCUGAGGUCUCA